RNAcentral lists this ribosomal RNA (887 nucleotides) under Rhizoglyphus robini. Its description in RNAcentral is "eukaryotic LSU rRNA". It matches the Rfam family "Eukaryotic large subunit ribosomal RNA", at positions 22 to 673 of the family's 3401-position model. The record is from RNAcentral. Lineage: Eukaryota; Metazoa; Arthropoda; Arachnida; Sarcoptiformes; Acaridae.
UACCCGCUGAAUUUAAGCAUAUAACUAAGCGGAGGAAAAGAAACCAAAUGGGAUUCCCCUAGUAACGGCGAGUGAACAGGGAACAGCUCAGCGCCAAGUCCUGACACUUGACGUGCUCAGGAGAUGCGGCGUUAGUGUAUUGGUGCAUCGUGCACUGUUUCGUAUCUCAAGUUCCUUUGACAGGGACUCCCAGAGUGGGUGCUAGGCCCAUAGAGAUUGCGAGACUGGUGUACGCAAACCAAUGCAUUUUAGAGUCAGGUUGCUUGAGAGUGCAGCCUAAAGCAGGUGGUAAACUCCAUCUAAAGCUAAAUAUUACAGCGAGACCGAUAGCAAACAAGUACCGUGAGGGAAAGUUGCAAAGAACUUUGAAGAGAGAGUUCAAAAGGACGUGAAACCACUAACAGGCAAACGGGUGGAACCACGAAGUGUGCCUGGAAGGCGAUUCAGUUAUCAUCAUUAGUUGGCUGUGUUUGUAUUGUGUCGGUCUUUUCAGGCUGUACAAAUGUGGUCUACAAUUGGUGAUGGUAAUGCAUUUCGUCCUUCCAGUGCUAAAGCCACGUCCGAUUAGGUGGCUGGAACGGCCGUAGAGGGUGUCUCAAGGAAGGUGGCCGUCAAGUGCUUGCAUUUGGCGGUGUUAUAGCUUUGAGGCCGUGCCGUUACCUAGCGUGCUGAUCGGUGCAAGUUCUCCUUUUGGAGUUUUGCUAGUAAUGGGCUGGCGCGCUUGUAGUGUCUUGGUUAGCGCGUUAGUUUGGCCUUUCGUUCCUUCGGGUUCGCAAAGACAGAUUAGCGUCGUUGGCCAAUGUGCUGCUUGCGUGGUUGGCUUGUGCAAACGGUGGUGCGAGUAGGUCGGUCUCCACCCGACCCGUCUUGAAACACGGACCAAGGAG